This 1954-nucleotide ribosomal RNA is filed under the name mouse gut metagenome. RNAcentral describes it as "bacterial LSU rRNA". It matches the Rfam family "Bacterial large subunit ribosomal RNA", at positions 3 to 1977 of the family's 2925-position model. The record is from RNAcentral.
UUAAGCUAGAAAGAGCGCAGGGUGGAUGCCUUGGCACUGAGAGCCGAAGAAAGACGUGAUAAGCUGCGAAAAGCCGUGGGGAGGAGCAAAUAUCCAAUGAUCCACGGAUGUCUGAAUGGGGAAACCCACAUGGAAAGACUCCAUGUAUCCAUGCCUGAAUCCAUAGGGUAUGGAGGGGAACCCGGUGAACUGAAACAUCUAAGUAGCCGGAGGAAAAGAAAGAAAAAUCGAUUUCCAAAGUAGCGGCGAGCGAAAUGGAAAGAGCCCAAACCGUCAUGCGUGCAUGGCGGGGUUCGGACUGCGGACGUGACUUUAAAGGACAGGAGAAUGGCACUGGAAAGACCAGCCAGAGAGGGUGAAAGCCCCGUAGCCGAAGUCGGAUAAAGCACAGCAGGAUCCAGAGUACCACGAGACACGUGAAACCUUGUGGGAAUGAGCGGGGACCACCCCGUAAGGCUAAAUACUCCUCAGUGACCGAUAGUGCACAGUACUGUGAAGGAAAGGUGAAAAGGACCCCGGGAGGGGAGUGAAAAAGAACCUGAAACCCUGUGUUUACAAACUGUGGGAGCACCAUAUGAGUGCAACCGCGUACUUUUUGUAGAACGGUCCGGCGAGUUGCGGGCUCUGGCAAGGUUAAGUACUUAAGGUAUGGAGCCGAAGGGAAACCAAGUCUUAAGAGGGCGAAUAAGUCAGAGGACGCAGACCCGAAACCGGGUGACCUACCCAUGUCCAGGAUGAAGCUGCCGUAAGAGGCAGUGGAGGUCCGAACCCACAUCCGUUGAAAAGGGUGGGGAUGAGGUGUGGGUAGGGGAGAAAUUCCAAUCGAACCCGGAGAUAGCUGGUUCUCCUCGAAAUAGCUUUAGGGCUAGCCUCGUUUUAGCCGGAUGGAGGUAGAGCACUGAAUACCCUAGGGGGCGUCAAAGCCUACCGAAGGUUAUCAAACUCCGAAUGCCAUGCCGGUGAUGAACGGGAGUCAGACUGCACGAGAUAAGUUGGGCAGUCGAAAGGGAAAGAGCCCAGACCCACAGCUAAGGUCCCAAAGUACGUGUUAAGUGGAAAAGGAUGUGGGAUCUCUAAGACAGCUAGGAUGUUGGCUCAGAAGCAGCCACACAUUCAAAGAGUGCGUAAUAGCUCACUAGUCGAGAGGUCCUGCGCCGAAAAUGUCCGGGGCUGAAACACGGCACCGAAGCUAGGGAAUAUAUGGAAAUAUAUUGGUAGAGGAGCAUUGCUGACACGAAGAAGCCGUACUGUAAGGAGCGGUGGAGCGUCAGGAAGAGAGAAUGCCGGAAUGAGUAGCGAGAAAGAGGUGAGAAUCCUCUUGGCCGAAUAUCCAAGGAUUCCAGGGUAAAGCUGAUCUGCCCUGGGUAAGUCGGGGCCUAAGGCGAGGCGAAAGAGCGUAGCCGAUGGACAACAGGUGGAGAUUCCUGUACUGCUGUAUGACAGAACUGUGGGGACGCAUGCAGAGAGCGUGAGCCGGGAACGGAGAGACCGGUGCAAGUGAGGUAGGAGAAGGGAAGGUAAAUCCGUCCUUCAAUCCGAAGACACGACGCGGAGCGAACAAAAGUAGCGAAGCACGUAAGCUGUGUGCCAAGAAAAGCCGCUAUUGUUCAUACAGUACCCGUACCGUAAACCGACACAGGUGGAUGAGGAGAGAAUCCUAAGGCCGGCGGGAGAAGCAUUGUCAAGGAACUCGGCAAAAUGGCCCCGUAACUUCGGGAGAAGGGGCGCCACAGAGAUGUGGCCGCAGAGAAUAGGCUCAGGCAACUGUUUAGCAAAAACACAGGUCUAUGCGAAACCGAAAGGUGAGGUAUAUGGGCUGACGCCUGCCCGGUGCCGGAAGGUUAAGAGGAGAGGUCAGCUGGAUGAAUACAUCCGGCGAAGCUUUGAAUUUAAGCCCCGGUAAACGGCGGCCGUAACUAUAACGGUCCUAAGGUAGCGAAAUUCCUUGUCGGGU